This 614-nucleotide ribosomal RNA is filed under the name Celeribacter sp. RNAcentral describes it as "bacterial SSU rRNA". It matches the Rfam family "Bacterial small subunit ribosomal RNA", at positions 273 to 905 of the family's 1533-position model. The record is from RNAcentral. Lineage: Bacteria; Pseudomonadati; Pseudomonadota; Alphaproteobacteria; Rhodobacterales; Roseobacteraceae.
CCUACGAUCUAUAGCUGGUUUGAGAGGAUGAUCAGCAACACUGGGACUGAGACACGGCCCAGACUCCUACGGGAGGCAGCAGUGGGGAAUCUUAGACAAUGGGGGCAACCCUGAUCUAGCCAUGCCGCGUGAGUGAUGAAGGCCUUAGGGUCGUAAAGCUCUUUCGCCUGUGAAGAUAAUGACGGUAGCAGGUAAAGAAACCCCGGCUAACUCCGUGCCAGCAGCCGCGGUAAUACGGAGGGGGUUAGCGUUGUUCGGAAUUACUGGGCGUAAAGCGCACGUAGGCGGAUUAGUCAGUCAGAGGUGAAAUCCCAGGGCUCAACCCUGGAACUGCCUUUGAUACUGCUAGUCUUGAGUUCGAGAGAGGUAAGUGGAAUUCCGAGUGUAGAGGUGAAAUUCGUAGAUAUUCGGAGGAACACCAGUGGCGAAGGCGGCUUACUGGCUCGAUACUGACGCUGAGGUGCGAAAGUGUGGGGAGCAAACAGGAUUAGAUACCCUGGUAGUCCACACCGUAAACGAUGAAUGCCAGUCGUCGGCAAGUAUACUUGUCGGUGACACACCUAACGGAUUAAGCAUUCCGCCUGGGGAGUACGGUCGCAAGAUUAAAACUCAAA